ACGACAACUCCCAUCAUCCCUAGCCAGAAUGUGUUGUGGCUGUGAAUGAUGGGAGUUGUAGUUCAGCAGCAGCUGGAGAGAGCCGGGGUUGCUCGCCUCUGAGGUAUAUGGCCGUGUCGUCUGUGUGCCUGGCUCUCCUCACACCUGUAUCUGUAUUGCAACAAUUAGCCAUGGAGAGGUCAUAGGUUUAGAAAAGAGGAAAGCUGAGGUCACCCCAGAAAAAAAAAUUGGACUUAAUUUAGGGGAAAGGUUUCACUUCACCUGUGACUUUAUAACAUCUGCCAAAAACUAUCUGGAGGGGUGAAUGGUUUGGGGAGUUCUUAUCCUCCAUAAAUCUGUCUGGGCAUUCCACAGUCUUGGGGAGCAGGCCCUUGCCCUUAUGAGAUAAGGUUGCCGGAUGACUAUCCGAAGAAGGAGCUUAUAGGUUUAAGAUGCUGGUUCCAGGGCUUCUGGCUGCAGAGAUGUACAUGGACCCAACUCCACUCCAAGCACUGUGAAGGAGUGAUAAAGCAAGGAGGACCAACAGAGGAGAUGACAGUGUCUGCCUCAGCCCCUUCAGCCUGCCUCCUUACUACUCAAUGGUAGCAGAGACAUGAAGAAAAAUGAGUAGCAGCAAUGUUUUCCCUCCUGGCAGUCUUGGAACCUGCUGCUUUUAUGUGUGGCCCCUUUCUCUGGCCAGCAAUUCUUGAAACCUUAUUUCUUGUAGACACUGGAAGUUUGCCUACACCAAUUGCCCAAUGCAAGUUUCCUCAGAAAUUAGUUCAACAGCAGCAUGUUUCCUCAGAAGUUAGUUCAACAACAGCUACUCCCAAGUACAUGUAGGUUUGCAGAUCAAGUCUGCUAGAUGAAGAGGAAGAAACAAAGCUGAGGCAAGAAUGCAUUCACAACUUGAUAUGCAUUACAGAAAUAUUCUUGUCUUCAACUAUGACCGAAGUACAGCCAAAUGGUGUACUUCAUAUAGCUACAACUUUUAUAAUUAAAUUGCCUAUUUUCAA
Hemicordylus capensis (graceful crag lizard) is the source of this 995-nucleotide long non-coding RNA. RefSeq lists it as uncharacterized. The record is from RefSeq and is a predicted model, not a curated record. The transcript has 2 exons. NCBI's taxonomy places the organism in Eukaryota, Metazoa, Chordata, Lepidosauria, Squamata, Cordylidae.